GCUACCAACAGGGUACUGACAGAUGUCUUUAUUCCUCUUAAAGAUAGGAGAUUAUCUGUGGACUUUUCAGCUGCAAUUGACUGGUCCUUGAUUUUUGCUGCAAACGACUAUCCUUUGACUUUCUAUCACCAGCUGAUGUUUGCUUGCACUCAGACUGUUCAUCUAGUUAAAUACUCCAUAUGAAUUGAGGCUCUUCAGUGCCCAUGUUAUUGUCUUACUUAAUUCCCCUGUAUUCACCUUGAUUUUAUUACGCUUCAAGGUAUGGCUGUUUUACAUAUAUUAACCCUAUUGACUCUAUUAUGGAUUUGUUUAAUUAGUUGAAACAGAUCAUAAUUUAAUAACACAUAUUCUAACAUAGAUUCUUUUUCUUCUGUAUUUUUAAGUCCUGUCAAUUGAACUUGGAUUUCAAUAUCCACCCUGAGGGGUUUUUUUCCUUGACUGGCUGUGCAUGAAGCUAGGAGUAAUCUAGAGAGACGAUCUUGUCCUAAUUCCCCUGAAGAAGCCAAGAGGCGAAACUAGUAGGGUCGACCUGAUCGAAAAAAUUAUUUCUAGAUCUUGCUCCCACAAAAUAAUUUAUGCACUAUCUGUAUAUUGAAUUACUGUAUUUUGUAAAAAUUGAAUAAAUAAACCUUUUUUAUAUAUUUUUAUAUAUACAUACAUACUUUGUCUGGUUUUCUUCAUCGCACCGCAACAAUCCCCCCAACUCUUCCAAAAAAUUCCCCUCCUUUGAAUCUAUUUUGGGAUGAGGUGCUGUAUCCUUUUUUAGGACUCUCGAUCACAUACCCCCCA
Long non-coding RNA from Rana temporaria (common frog), 789 nucleotides. RefSeq lists it as uncharacterized. The record is from RefSeq and is a predicted model, not a curated record. Lineage: Eukaryota; Metazoa; Chordata; Amphibia; Anura; Ranidae. The transcript has 4 exons.